Molecule: ribosomal RNA, 476 nt
Filed under: uncultured organism
Description: partial 16S ribosomal RNA
Rfam family: Bacterial small subunit ribosomal RNA
Source: RNAcentral
ACACUCCUACGGGAGGCAGCAGUGGGGAAUUUUGGACAAUGGGCGAAAGCCUGAUCCAGCCAUGCCGCGUGCAGGAUGAAGGCCUUCGGGUUGUAAACUGCUUUUGUACGGAACGAAACGGCCUUUUCUAAUAAAGAGGGCUAAUGACGGUACCGUAAGAAUAAGCACCGGCUAACUACGUUCCAGCAGCCGCGGUAAUACGUAGGGUGCAAGCGUUAAUCGGAAUUACUGGGCGUAAAGCGUGCGCAGGCGGUUAUGUAAGACAGUUGUGAAAUCCCCGGGCUCAACCUGGGAACUGCAUCUGUGACUGCAUAGCUAGAGUACGGUAGAGGGGGAUGGAAUUCCGCGUGUAGCAGUGAAAUGCGUAGAUAUGCGGAGGAACACCGAUGGCGAAGGCAAUCCCCUGGACCUGUACUGACGCUCAUGCACGAAAGCGUGGGGAGCAAACAGGAUUAGAUACCCUAGUAGUCCCAUGA